This is a non-coding RNA of Mycena galopus ATCC 62051, 95 nucleotides long. NCBI's taxonomy places the organism in Eukaryota, Fungi, Basidiomycota, Agaricomycetes, Agaricales, Mycenaceae. The record is from the annotation of a GenBank genome assembly.
GCAUUAAUGGGGUAAAGGUAACCCAGGUCUUCAAAGUUCCAAGCACGAGGGGCAAAUUUAGAGACCAGCCGAGGGUUCGAAUCCCUCUCAAGGCA